Molecule: ribosomal RNA, 827 nt
Filed under: uncultured bacterium
Lineage: Bacteria
Description: bacterial SSU rRNA
Rfam family: Bacterial small subunit ribosomal RNA
Source: RNAcentral
CAUGCAAGUCGAACGGAGCUAUGUUGAAAGCUUACUGGAUAUAUAGCUUAGUGGCGGACGGGUGAGUAACACGUGAGCAACCUGCCUUUCAGAGUGGAAUAACGUUUGGAAACGAACGCUAAUACCGCAUAAUGUCAGAAGACGGCAUCGUCUUUUGACCAAAGAUUUAUCGCUGAAAGAUGGGCUCGCGGCCGAUUAGGUAGUUGGUGAGAUAAUAGCCCACCAAGCCGACGAUCGGUAGCCGGACUGAGAGGUUGAACGGCCACAUUGGGACUGAGACACGGCCCAGACUCCUACGGGAGGCAGCAGUGGGGGAUAUUGCACAAUGGGGGAAACCCUGAUGCAGCGACGCCGCGUGAGGGAAGACGGCCUUCGGGUUGUAAACCUCUGUCUUCGGGGACGAAUAAAUGACGGUACCCGAGGAGGAAGCCACGGCUAACUACGUGCCAGCAGCCGCGGUAAUACGUAGGUGGCAAGCGUUGUCCGGAAUUACUGGGUGUAAAGGGAGCGUAGGCGGGGAGGCAAGUUGAAUGUCUAAACUAUCGGCUCAACUGAUAGUCGCGUUCAAAACUGCCACUCUUGAGUGCAGUAGAGGUAGGCGGAAUUCCUAGUGUAGCGGUGAAAUGCGUAGAUAUUAGGAGGAACACCAGUGGCGAAGGCGGCCUACUGGGCUGUAACUGACGCUGAGGCUCGAAAGCGUGGGUAGCAAACAGGAUUAGAUACCCUGGUAGUCCACGCCGUAAACGAUGAUUACUAGGUGUGGGGGGCUGACCCCUUCCGUGCCGGAGUUAACACAAUAAGUAAUCCACCUGGGGAGUACGGCCGCA